Molecule: long non-coding RNA, 2211 nt
Filed under: Scleropages formosus (Asian bonytongue)
Lineage: Eukaryota; Metazoa; Chordata; Actinopteri; Osteoglossiformes; Osteoglossidae
Description: lncRNA (ENSSFOG00015025664.1)
Source: RNAcentral
AAAUUAAGCCUUGUUUUACAUUACUGAAAAUAUCAUCUCUGCUACAAACUAGCAGUCGAUCCUGAUUAUUCACUGAUCCACGUGCAGUAUGUAACCGUCUUUUUACCACUUUCAGCUUUGUUUAUUGUGUCCACUUUGGUUUCCAUGGCAACAGCGCCCUCUUAUUCACUGUUACGGUCACCGAGUAACUGCGGACACCGGGUGUAAACAUCGUGGAAGGGAAUUGAAUGGAGGUGGUCCGUCACCCCCUUUCUUUCUGCUUUUACUGGCAUCUGUACACCGGUCCAGUGAACACAGAUCACUUUUCUCUCUACUACUGCAAAGAGAAAUUUGAGGGGGGAAAAGAAACGUGAGGGAAACAUGCCAUUUUUGGGAAGGAAAAUGUUGAAUUUUUUUUUUUUUUUUUCCCCCCCAACCAAUUUCGUAACUGAUCUUUUCGUAAUCCGAGAGUAAACGUGUGUGUGUUUGUGUGUGUGUUUUACAGCAGUGAGAAGACGGGUUUGUUGGGUCGAUGCCUCCUGCUGCUCUGCACUCAUUCACUCACUGUGCUGCUAUAAUGAACGCAGAGGAAACUGCAAAUGACCCAAAAUACAGUAACUGCUGCUGAAGACAGACAGUAGUAGUGAAACGAACGCAGUAAGGAUCAAGAUAGGAAGGAAUGGGGAGUUCCUGGAGCUUCACCCACUAACGGAGCUGCAGCCGCAGGACUCGAACUCUCGCUCUGUGGACGCGCAGCUGUGGGUGGUGGAGCGGAACCCUGGACUCGAGGAGCCGCGUGAUCUGAUCCUGUAACCCCCCUCAGGAGUGUCAUGGGGAGCGUGAGCAGCAGGUGGAAGAGGGUCGCGCCCGCAUCUCCAGCCCAGGAUCCUCCUGCGCUCUGCGGGUCCUUCGGUGUCCAGAGCGUCUCCGGCCACAGCCGUUCGCGAUCCGCGGGGGGACUCGACAGGCACAGCGAAGGACUCGAUUCCCAGUCAUCAGCCGAUGGAGAGGAGGACUUGAGCGCCGAGCUGGAUCGAAUACUGGCCGAGUACCAAGUACUGGAGUCGAGCGACAGCGCGCAGAGGAGAGCAGCGCUCCCACGUGACGGGUUUGGAUCAUCUUCUGGUCGUGAUGACGGAAGGGACUUGAAAUGGACUCCUCUCUCACAGAGGUCAGAAGUGACCCAAAAACCGGCGUCCUCCGGAGACUCGGAGUCUGGAAGGGUCCGAGAGGAGGAGGACGACGAGGGUGAAGAGGAUGAUGAAGAGGAGGACUGCAGCUCCGGCACACGGCGGCUCUCCAAACGCGCGCCUCAUCGUGUCCCUGAGCCUUGUGCAAACGAUAUGAAGGGUUUGCAGGACCUCGCGUGCACCAGGAAAACAGACUCGGUCCCCGGAAGCUGUGGGGAUUCUUUAGUCACCAUGCCCGUGAUCCAGUAUGACAAAUCUGAAGAGGACCUCAUGGAGACCAUUGAGAGGGAAUUCAGUUGACUGUGCUCAGAGGAAGUACCUGCUUUUCAGUGUAGAACCACUGUCCGCACCACAGUAGGCUCUAAAUCUGCUGAGUCAGAGAAAGAAGCCUCCAGUGAAAUUCAGGAUGUAAACACAAAUGUUGUGGGACAUGGAGGUGAAUCAGGAGCACCUCUGUCUUGAGAUUUUGUCCUGCCGUAGGCAAAUGAACUGUUCUGAUUAAGAGCACUCGACUCUCCGACACAUCGACAACCUCUGGCCACGCGACCACCGGAAUGAUCUGAUCUGUGACACAGGAUUCUGUCUUAAUCACUUCAAGAAGCUGAAGGGAAACUUAGAAAUCUGGGUUUGGACCUGAUCAUGUGAAUCUUAACCCAUGUGACUGAAAAGCGAUGUCUGCCCCCCACAACCGAAUCAAUGCCAAUCUAAUGUGGCUGCGGUGAGUCCUGUGGACACGUGGAUCCCAGAGGACCGGUGGGCACCUGUGACUCACCUGUGAUGACCCACCGUUGGGCAGAAGCUGUGCUUUCUCCAGGUGUUGCCAUGGUUACAGUUUCUCUAGGAAUAUUUAACAUGCUGCAGGCUGCCCUGCCCACGGUUAAUGCAGUAAAUGAUUUGUCACUUCAACACGAUUUUCAGCCUCAUGGACAUUCCUAUUCAUUUUAACAAUCUUCGUCGUAUUUUUUUUUUUUUUCCUGCAUGUUGCUUCCUGCAGACCUUUUAUAUCAUGCAGUGCUGCUGUAAUAAAAUGUGAAAACACAUG